AGUGAACGCUGGCGGUAGGCCUAACACAUGCAAGUCGAACGGCAGCACAGUAAGAGCUUGCUCUUACGGGUGGCGAGUGGCGGACGUGUGAGGAAUACAUCGGAAUCUACUUUUUCGUGGGGGAUAACGUAGGGAAACUUACGCUAAUACCGCAUACGACCUACGGGUGAAAGCAGGGGAUCUUCGGACCUUGCGCGAUUGAAUGAGCCGAUGUCGGAUUAGCUAGUUGGCGGGGUAAAGGCCCACCAAGGCGACGAUCCGUAGCUGGUCUGAGAGGAUGAUCAGCCACAAUGGAACUGAGACACGGUCCAGACUCCUACGGGAGGCAGCAGUGGGGAAUAUUGGACAAUGGGCGCAAGCCUGAUCCAGCCAUACCGCGUGGGUGAAGAAGGCCGUCGGGUUGUAAAGCCCUUUUGUUGGGAAAGAAAAGCAGCAGGUUAAUACCCCGCUGUUCUGACGGUACCCAAAGAAUAAGCACCGGCUAACUUCG
RNAcentral lists this ribosomal RNA (490 nucleotides) under uncultured bacterium. RNAcentral describes it as "partial 16S ribosomal RNA". It matches the Rfam family "Bacterial small subunit ribosomal RNA", at positions 29 to 505 of the family's 1533-position model. The record is from RNAcentral.